RNAcentral lists this unclassified non-coding RNA (336 nucleotides) under soil metagenome. Its description in RNAcentral is "partial contains 5.8S ribosomal RNA, internal transcribed spacer 2, and large subunit ribosomal RNA". The stretch from base 1 to 120 matches the Rfam family "5.8S ribosomal RNA", at positions 35 to 154 of the family's 154-position model. The record is from RNAcentral.
GAUGAAGAACGCAGCGAAAUGCGAUAAGUAAUGUGAAUUGCAGAAUUCAGUGAAUCAUCGAAUCUUUGAACGCACAUUGCGCCCGCCAGUAUUCUGGCGGGCAUGCCUGUUCGAGCGUCAUUUCAACCAUCAAGCCCCAGGCUUGUGUUGGGGACCUGCGGCUGCCGCAGGCCCUGAAAACCAGUGGCGGGCUCGCUAGUCACACCGAGCGUAGUAGCAUACACAUCGCUCAGGGCGUGCUGCGGGUUCCGGCCGUUAAUCCCCUUUUUUACCCAAGGUUGACCUCGGAUCAGGUAGGAAGACCCGCUGAACUUAAGCAUAUCAAUAAGCGGAGGA